Molecule: long non-coding RNA, 726 nt
Filed under: Triticum aestivum (bread wheat)
Lineage: Eukaryota; Viridiplantae; Streptophyta; Magnoliopsida; Poales; Poaceae
Description: long non-coding RNA (TAES_LNC015219)
Source: RNAcentral
GAAAUAGAUAAUGAAUUCAAGGAAGUGGAUGAAGAUCUCCUUGAAAUGUAUGUAUAUCAGCCUUUGCUAAUACAUUAAAAAAAUUGUGUACUGCGCCUGAUUUUCAUUGUAAUAUUGCCAGGUUUGCAGAGAGGCUGGUUGAUCUGAAGGUUUGACUUAUUAUCAGGUAGAAGUUCAGAGUAUUGAUACUUGCAGCUGCAUUAGCUUGAAUCCUUCAGAAUUAGUGUCUCUAUAGAGAUACAAGCUGCGCAAGUCUUUCCAUGGUCCGCACGUUUGAGUAAUUUUUCCCUGAACCAAAGCAAGCCUCUAAAUUAGAAUAGAAAGUUGCAUAAGCAACAAACUUCUAAAUUCCUUCUAUCUUUUAUCACAAAUAGUGGGUACUUGUAGAAUACCAUUGCACCCUCAUUUUUUUUUAGAAAAACCGCUCGUGACCCUGCUUAAUUUUAUUGAUAUGUAAGAGUUCAGACUACAAGACUUACAGAGAUGUAUUCUAGGAUUGCCAAUUUUAGUCAUGAAACAUAGCAAAGCAGAAACCAGGAAUGCACAACUCCAUGGUCAACUCAUUUAAAACCACAGAAAAGGAUCCGCCUUACACUACAUCAGUCAUUUUCCUUUAGCCUGCCGACCUAUCCCCCACAAUGGUUGCUAUUGCUAUAAAAAGAUGCACACUAGUAGGGUGAGACUACUCCUUUUGUUUUUGUUCAAAAUUAAAAAUCAACUCAGAAU